GGCAGCUAUAACUCCGAGGUGGACGGGGACGUCUCGCUCGUUCAACUUCCGAAUCCGGUUCAACAUCCACUCGAGGGCUCCACCUGGCGGGGCUGUCCAGGUGUGCUAUAUAGUUCGUCUUGGAGCCCUUGAAGUCAAACGAGCUGGAUUUUUGUCUGUGUCAGAAAUGGAUGCUGGAUGUUGAACGGGAUGCCAGGACGUCUCUGUCAGGGAUAGCCACUGCUCAACUGGAAUGCGGAAGUGUAACCAGAUCUGGAGACUGCCGGAAAGCCCCGAAAGCAAGAUUGUAAUUUUCUAUGAAUCACAUGAUGGAUGAACAUAUUGCCUGCAGCCUACUGUACAUGAGGGAGCGGGAUCUUUGCGUCACGUGCCUAGGGACAAGACCUGUGAACUACCUGCCCUCCAGGACACCUACAGCACCCGGUGUCACAGGAAUGCCAAAAAGAUCAUCAAGGACAACAACCACCUGAGCCACUGCCUGUUCACCCCGCUACCAUUCAGAAUGCGAGGUCAUUACAGGUGCAUCAAAGCUGGGACCGAGAGACUGAAAAAUAGCUUCUAUCUCAAGGUCAUCAGACUGUUAAACAGCCAUCACUAACACAGUGAGGCUGCUGCCUACAUACAGACUUGAAAUCAUUGGCCACUUUAAUAAAUGGAUCACUAGUCACUUUAAUAAUGCCACUUUAAUAAUGUUUACAUAUCUUG
RNAcentral lists this long non-coding RNA (705 nucleotides) under Salmo salar (Atlantic salmon). Its description in RNAcentral is "lncRNA (ENSSSAG00000105528.1)". Lineage: Eukaryota; Metazoa; Chordata; Actinopteri; Salmoniformes; Salmonidae. The record is from RNAcentral.